GGCUCAGGACGAACGCUGGCGGCGUGCCUAAUACAUGCAAGUAGAACGCUGAGGACUGGUGCUUGCACUGGUCUAAGGAGUUGCGAACGGGUGAGUAACGCGUAGGUAACCUACCUCAUAGCGGGGGAUAACUAUUGGAAACGAUAGCUAAUACCGCAUGACAAUAGGGUACACAUGUACCUAAUUUAAAAGGGGCAAUUGCUUCACUAUGAGAUGGACCUGCGUUGUAUUAGCUAGUUGGUAAGGUAACGGCUUACCAAGGCGACGAUACAUAGCCGACCUGAGAGGGUGAUCGGCCACACUGGGACUGAGACACGGCCCAGACUCCUACGGGAGGCAGCAGUAGGGAAUCUUCGGCAAUGGGGGGAACCCUGACCGAGCAACGCCGCGUGAGUGAAGAAGGUUUUCGGAUCGUAAAGCUCUGUUGUUAGAGAAGAAC
RNAcentral lists this ribosomal RNA (439 nucleotides) under Streptococcus uberis. RNAcentral describes it as "bacterial SSU rRNA". It matches the Rfam family "Bacterial small subunit ribosomal RNA", at positions 21 to 450 of the family's 1533-position model. Lineage: Bacteria; Bacillati; Bacillota; Bacilli; Lactobacillales; Streptococcaceae. The record is from RNAcentral.